Molecule: transfer RNA, 64 nt
Filed under: Cavia porcellus (domestic guinea pig)
Lineage: Eukaryota; Metazoa; Chordata; Mammalia; Rodentia; Caviidae
Rfam family: tRNA
About the family: Transfer RNA (tRNA) molecules are approximately 80 nucleotides in length. Their secondary structure includes four short double-helical elements and three loops (D, anti-codon, and T loops).
Source: Rfam by way of RNAcentral
GGAGAUUUAGCUCAGCGGCAUAAGCGCCUGCCUUGCAAGCAGGCAGGUGUGAGUUCAAUCCCCA